Molecule: ribosomal RNA, 253 nt
Filed under: uncultured bacterium
Lineage: Bacteria
Description: partial 16S ribosomal RNA
Rfam family: Bacterial small subunit ribosomal RNA
Source: RNAcentral
UACAGAGGGUGCAAGCGUUGUCCGGAAUUAUUGGGCGUAAAGAGCGUGUAGGCGGUCCGGUAAGUCAGCUGUGAAAGUCAAGGGCUCAACCCUUGAAUGCCGGUUGAUACUGUCGGGCUAGAGUCCGGAAGAGGCGAGUGGAAUUCCCGGUGUAGCGGUGAAAUGCGCAGAUAUCGGGAGGAACACCAAUGGCGAAGGCAGCUCGCUGGGACGGUACUGACGCUGAGACGCGAAAGCGUGGGGAGCAAACAGG